CUCGGACAUUUUUAUGCUGGUCAACAGAACCACGUAUGCCAGCAGUUAUCUUAGUUUUGAUAAACAUCACGCUGAGCCGAUUGGAUCGCUCCCAUCGCUCAUAUAACGCGAUCUCAGUUGGAGUGCUGGUAUUAGUGACUAUAGGUGGUUCGUCUUUUCUAAUAGCAUAAUCAAUAUCCAUCCACCCUAAAUGGAGGAGAACCCUCUCCUUCCAUAUCUUAUAGUUAUCACCACUAAGUU
RNAcentral lists this long non-coding RNA (240 nucleotides) under Musa acuminata (dwarf banana). Its description in RNAcentral is "long non-coding RNA (MACU_LNC005231)". Lineage: Eukaryota; Viridiplantae; Streptophyta; Magnoliopsida; Zingiberales; Musaceae. The record is from RNAcentral.